Molecule: ribosomal RNA, 1409 nt
Filed under: Apilactobacillus kunkeei
Lineage: Bacteria; Bacillati; Bacillota; Bacilli; Lactobacillales; Lactobacillaceae
Description: bacterial SSU rRNA
Rfam family: Bacterial small subunit ribosomal RNA
Source: RNAcentral
CAUGCAGUCGAACGAGCUCUCCCAAAUUGAUUUUAUGCUUGCAUAAAUGAUUUUUGCAUUCAAGAGCGAGUGGCGAACUGGUGAGUAACACGUGGGUAACCUGCCCCGAAGCGGGGGAUAACAUUUGGAAACAAGUGCUAAUACCGCAUAAUUAGUUGGAACCGCAUGGUUCCAACUUGAAAGAUGGCUCUGCUAUCACUUUGGGAUGGACCCGCGCCGUAUUAGUUAGUUGGUGAGAUAAAAGCCCACCAAGACGAUGAUACGUAGCCGACCUGAGAGGGUAAUCGGCCACAUUGGGACUGAGACACGGCCCAGACUCCUACGGGAGGCAGCAGUAGGGAAUCUUCCACAAUGGACGAAAGUCUGAUGGAGCAACGCCGCGUGAGUGAUGAAGGUUUUCGGAUCGUAAAACUCUGUUGUUAAAGAAGAACAAGUGUUAGAGUAACUGUUAACACUUUGACGGUAUUUAACCAGAAAGCCACGGCUAACUACGUGCCAGCAGCCGCGGUAAUACGUAGGUGGCAAGCGUUGUCCGGAUUUAUUGGGCGUAAAGCGAGCGCAGGCGGUUUUGUAAGUCUGCUGUGAAAAGCCCUCAGCUCAACUGAGGAAGUGCAGUGGAAACUACAAAACUUGAGUACAGAAGAGGAAAGUGGAACUCCAUGUGUAGCGGUGAAAUGCGUAGAUAUAUGGAAGAACACCAGUGGCGAAGGCGGCUUUCUGGUCUGUUACUGACGCUGAGGCUCGAAAGCAUGGGUAGCGAACAGGAUUAGAUACCCUGGUAGUCCAUGCCGUAAACGAUGAAUACUAGGUGUUGGAGGGUUUCCGCCCUUCAGUGCCGCAGCUAACGCAUUAAGUAUUCCGCCUGGGGAGUACGACCGCAAGGUUGAAACUCAAAGGAAUUGACGGGGGCCCGCACAAGUGGUGGAGCAUGUGGUUUAAUUCGAUGCUACGCGAAGAACCUUACCAGCUCUUGACAUCUUCUGCCAACCCAAGAGAUUGGGCGUUCCCUUCGGGGACAGAAUGACAGGUGGUGCAUGGUUGUCGUCAGCUCGUGUCGUGAGAUGUUGGGUUAAGUCCCGCAACGAGCGCAACCCUUAUUAUUAGUUGCCAGCAUUUAGUUGGGCACUCUAGUGAGACUGCCGGUGAUAAACCGGAGGAAGGUGGGGACGACGUCAAAUCAUCAUGCCCCUUAUGAGCUGGGCUACACACGUGCUACAAUGGAUGGUACAACGAGUCGCGAAACCGCGAGGUCAAGCUAAUCUCUUAAAGCCAUUCUCAGUUCGGAUUGCAGGCUGCAACUCGCCUGCAUGAAGUUGGAAUCACUAGUAAUCGUGGAUCAGCAUGCCACGGUGAAUACGUUCCCGGGCCUUGUACACACCGCCCGUCACACCAUGAGAGUUUGUAACCAC